GUAAAUAAUAAAGGGCGUAUGGUGGAUGCCUAGGCUCUCAGAGGCGAAGAAGGACGUGAUAAGCUGCGAAAAGCUCCGUUUAGGUGCAAAUAACCUUUGAUGCGGAGAUCUCCGAAUGGGAUAACCCAAUAUGUUGAAGACAUAUUAUACCGUAAGGUAGGCAAACGCAGGGAACUGAAACAUCUAAGUACCUGCAGGAGAAGAAAACAAACGUGAUUCCCCCAGUAGCGGCGAGCGACCGGGGAAAAGCCCAAACCGUUAUUGUUUCGGCAUUAACGGGGUAGUAGGACUGCGACAUUGAUGAAAUAAAUGAAAUGGAACACCUUGGAAAAUGUGAUCACAGAGGGUGAUAAUCCCGUACAUGCAAGUUUAUGAAUCAUAGCAGACUCCUGAGUAAGUCGGGACACGUGUAAUCCUGACCGAAUCCGCCGGGACCAUCCGGCAAGGCUAAAUACUCCUGAGAGACCGAUAGUGAACCAGUACCGUGAGGGAAAGGUGAAAAGCACUUCGAACAGAAGAGUGAAAUAGUCCCUGAACCCAUACGCCUACAAGCUGUCGGAGCCGCUUCGUGCGGUGACGGCGUGCCUUUUGCAUAAUGAGCCUACGAGUUACUCAUCACCAGCGAGGUUAAGUACUUCAGGUACGUAAGCCGAAGCGAAAGCGAGUCUGAAUAGGGCGUCAAGUUGGUGGUGGUAGACGCGAAACCUUAGUGAUCUACCCAUGGGCAGGGUGAAGGUUUGGUAACACAAACUGGAGGCCCGAACCGGUAAACGUUGAAAAGUUUUCGGAUGACCUGUGGGUAGGGGUGAAAGGCCAAUCAAACUGGGAAAUAGCUCGUACUCUCCGAAAUGCAUUUAGGUGCAGCCUCUGUUGUUUUGUUCUAGAGGUAGAGCUACUGAUUGGAUGCGAGGGCUUCACCGCCUAUCAAAUCCGGCCAAACUCCGAAUGCUAGAACAUGAAGACAGGGAGUGAGCCAGCGGGUGCUAAGGUCCGUUGACGAAAGAGGGAGAACUCAGACCAUCAGCUAAGGUCCCCAAUUGUAUGCUAAGUUGGAAUUAAAACGGGGUGGGACUGCUUAGACAGCUAGGAUGUUGGCUUGGAAGCAGCCAUUCAUUUAAAGAGUGCGUAACAGCUCACUAGUCGAGCGGUCCUGCAUGGAUAAUACGCGGGCAUAAGCAUAUAACCGAAGCUAUGGGAUUGUAGAUGAUACAAUCGGUAGGAGAGCAUUCCAUUCAGCAUAGAAGCAGUACCGUGAGGUAUUGUGGAGCGGAUGGAAAAGCAAAUGUAGGCAUAAGUAACGAUAAUGCGGGUGAGAACCCCGCACGCCGAAAGAUCAAGGAUUCCCCGGCAAUGUCAAUCAUCCGGGGGUAAGUCGGAUCCUAAGGGUAAGCCGAGUGGCGAUCCCGAUGGCAAACAGGUUAAUAUUCCUGUACUGAUCAUAACUGCGAUGCAGCGACGCAGAGGUGACACUGCUGCGUACUGACGGAAUAGUACGUUGAAACCCGUAUUCUUUGAUACCGGUAGUGAAGCACGCCGGUAGAGAUGAAAGGUGAUAGUACCGCAAUGCUUCGGUUGCGCGGAUAACGCAGGUAAGCUGACUGCCAAGAAAACCUGCUAAGCUUCAGGUAAUGAUCAUCCGUACUGUAAACGGACACACGUGAUCAGGUAGAAAAUACUAAGGCGCUCGAGAGAUUCAUGGUUAAGGAACUAGGCAAAAUGGUCCUGUAACUUCGGGAUAAAGGACGCUCUUGUGAAAGAGCCGCAGAUAAUAGGCCCAGGCGACUGUUUACCAAAAACACAUGGCUAUGCUAAUUCGCAAGAAGAUGUAUAUGGCCUGACACCUGCCCGGUGCCGGAAGGUUAAGAGGAGAGCUCAGAGGCAACUCGAAGGUUUGAAUUGAAGCCCCGGUAAACGGCGGCCGUAACUAUAACGGUCCUAAGGUAGCGAAAUUCCUUGUCGGGU
RNAcentral lists this ribosomal RNA (1962 nucleotides) under metagenome. RNAcentral describes it as "bacterial LSU rRNA". It matches the Rfam family "Bacterial large subunit ribosomal RNA", at positions 1 to 1977 of the family's 2925-position model. The record is from RNAcentral.